Molecule: non-coding RNA, 25 nt
Filed under: Drosophila erecta
Lineage: Eukaryota; Metazoa; Arthropoda; Insecta; Diptera; Drosophilidae
Also listed under: 1 other name
Source: RNAcentral
UGGAUCUGAAUUACUUUUAUACUCG